Molecule: ribosomal RNA, 405 nt
Filed under: uncultured bacterium
Lineage: Bacteria
Description: partial 16S ribosomal RNA
Rfam family: Bacterial small subunit ribosomal RNA
Source: RNAcentral
GACGAACGCUGGCGGCGUGCUUAACACAUGCAAGUCGAGCGGAGCGGCGCACGGGUGAGUAACGCGUGAGUAACUGCCCCCCUCCCUGGGAUAACAGUUGGCAACGGCUGCUAAUACCGGAUAGUGGGGGAUGACUCGCGUCCUAUCAGCCUGUUGGCGGGGUAGUGGCCUACCACGGCGACGACGGGUAGCCGGCCUGAGAGGGCGACCGGCCAAAGUGGGCUGAGAUACGGCCCAAGCUAGUACGGGAGGCAGCAGUGGGGAAUAUUGCACAAUGGGGGAAACACGGAUGCAGCAACGCCGCGUGCGGGAUGACGGCCUUCGGGUUGUAAACCGCUUUAAGCCAUGACGGGGGAGUGGCAGAAGAAGCACCGGCUAACUACGUGCCAGCAGCCGCGGUAAUUC